AUACGGAGGAUGCAAGCGUUAUCCGGAUUUAUUGGGUUUAAAGGGUGCGUAGGCGGUUUGCUAAGCGGGAGGUGAAAUGCCGGCGCUCAACGUCGGAAGUGCCUCCCGAACUGGUGGACUUGAAUGACUCUGCCGUGGGAGGAAUGUGUAGUGUAGCGGGGAAAUGCUUAGAGAUUACACAGAACACCGAUUGCGAAGGCAUCUCACGAAGGGUUGAUUGACGCUGAGGCACGAAAGCGUGGGGAUCAAACAGGAUUAGAUACCCUGGUAGUCCACGCAGUAAACGAUGAUGGCUAACCGCUGGGCUUAUCAGUUCAGUGGCCAAGCGAAAGCGAUAAGCCAUCCACCUGGGGAGUACGACCGCAAGGUUGAAACUCAAAGGAAUUGGCGGGG
RNAcentral lists this ribosomal RNA (393 nucleotides) under uncultured bacterium. RNAcentral describes it as "partial 16S ribosomal RNA". It matches the Rfam family "Bacterial small subunit ribosomal RNA", at positions 523 to 918 of the family's 1533-position model. The record is from RNAcentral.